GGACAUAAGACUUGGCUAGCGAGUUCAGUAUUGCAUCUUUUCCAAGCUGCUCAUGCAAGAGAAAGCCAAGCUUGCUCAAAUGCUUCAUCAACUCGAUCAUGUACAAUUCAUGAUCAGUGACAGAGGCACCAUCCCACAUUUUAGCAUUGAAGAUGGCACAACUAGUCUUGUGCCUCUCCGCAUCAUCGGGUGUGCUAAAGGCAUCCUCCAACACUUGAAGCAUAUCCUUUGGCUGAGCCAUCUCAAAUCUAUGACUGAACUCAUUGCUUAUGACAACCAGCAUGAUGCAGCACACCAUGGUCCGAUCACUGAGCCACUUCUGGUAAGUAUCUCUUAUUGUUCCACGUGCAUUGGCAGCUGGCUCCUCAGCUGCAAGAUCCGUUAUCACAUAUAGGAUCCGUUCAUGCUCCAGCACUAUCUUCAACUUUCGGUAUCAACUAUCGAAGUUGGGUCCCACC
Molecule: long non-coding RNA, 458 nt
Filed under: Elaeis guineensis (African oil palm)
Lineage: Eukaryota; Viridiplantae; Streptophyta; Magnoliopsida; Arecales; Arecaceae
Description: long non-coding RNA (EGUI_LNC069435)
Source: RNAcentral